UUUAAUUUGAGAGUUUGAUCCUGGCUCAGGAUGAACGCUGGCGGCGUGCUUAACACAUGCAAGUCGAACGGAGUUAAUAAGUGGAAGUCUUCGGAUGGAAGCUUGUUAACUUAGUGGCGGACGGGUGAGUAACGCGUGGGUAACCUGCCUUAUACAGGGGGAUAACAGCCGGAAACGGUUGCUAAUACCGCAUAAGCAUACAGUGCCGCAUGGUACAGUGUGAAAAAGAUUAAGUUCAACUUCGUUGAACUCUGGUAUAAGAUGGACCCGCGUCUGAUUAGCUAGUUGGUGAGGUAAUGGCUCACCAAGGCGACGAUCAGUAGCCGGCUUGA
Molecule: ribosomal RNA, 332 nt
Filed under: Anaerocolumna aminovalerica
Lineage: Bacteria; Bacillati; Bacillota; Clostridia; Lachnospirales; Lachnospiraceae
Description: bacterial SSU rRNA
Rfam family: Bacterial small subunit ribosomal RNA
Source: RNAcentral